Molecule: long non-coding RNA, 5216 nt
Organism: Corythoichthys intestinalis (scribbled pipefish)
Lineage: Eukaryota; Metazoa; Chordata; Actinopteri; Syngnathiformes; Syngnathidae
Exons: 4
Source: RefSeq, a predicted model, not a curated record
CAUGUGACGACGUUGGCGCAUGUGUUGGUUUACAGCGGGCAUAAUACAUCUAACCUUACAUAUAAUAUAGAAGAAGAAGAACCUACUGGCUACUGCCGUUUUAACUGACGAAGAAGAGUUUGCGCAAGUGGUUGAGGUCAAUUUCUUUGUUGUCGUGGCGGAUCACGAGAAAAAAAUACAACUAUGUCGUCUCGGAGCACCACGUUACAGUCAUUUGGUGAACAUUUCAAUGAAGGGCACAAGAAGAUAUCUUGUAAAUUCUACGGCUGUAAACGUGCUUAUACGGAUGUGAGCGCACUGGAAAGUCACGUGAAUGACCAUGUCAUCCCAACAGAGUCUCUUCCUGGAAAAGUAUUUCAGUGCUCCAGUGUUGGCUGUAGCUGCUCCUUCCCAAACAUGCAGAAAUUGAUGGAACAUAUGAGACGUCAUCAUAAACCCAACUUGUAUUUCUUGUGUGAAAAUUGCCGCACCAAGCUGCGAUCUUACCGUGGCCUUCUGACUCACCUCCACACCUGUUCCAAAGUUCCACGGGGAAAAACAAAGUCAUCAGAACAGGCUACUCUUCCGCCAGUCGGUGUGACCAAUCCAAACGUGACAGCCAUUAUGAACCCCCCUCAGAUAGACGUGAUGCCCACGCCACAAAAAGUGAUCUCUACUAAGCCGGAGAGUUCUUAAAAAGUAUUCUUGCUCACCAAAUUGUUUCCCGCUGAACUAAGAGACAUCUGGUGUCAACUUGCCUUUGUUUUUAAUGCAUUAAGGAUGUAAUCCUUCUACAAGUAUAUGUAUAUAGGCAGUGUUAGAAUGUGGAACUACUUAGCAAAUGGUUUGAAACCAUAAAUUUGGUUUUGUACUCCAUUGAUUUGUGCGUGAACUUUGUGAUCAUUUAUAACAAGAUUAUUGAUUUAUCAGUUAUACUCGUGGCUGGAGCACUUACUAUCAUUACACAUACACACACUAAAAACCCUUAAAUGAUUACUUCAAUAAGUUUGUUUCAGCAGGUAAAGAUAGGCAAUAACAAAAAUAUAUCAUUUAAAACCCCUUAAGGCCUGCAACAUGAAUCAUGAGUCAGAGAAUCCCAAUAUUUGAAAAAUCGGAUCUUAAUGGAACCUUUUUUCAAAUUUGUAAAAAAAAAAAAAAAGUAAGCACCAAUAUGUAGAACCCAUGCUAAAUCCUGAUUUUUCAUAUGCAACCUGCAGACCCAUGUGUUGACUUGCAUCCAUCAAAUUUCCCCCCCCCCCCCAAAAUUGUGAAUUGGUCUGAAAAUCACAAAAAUAAAGGGUUAAAUGAAAGAAUCCAUUUUGGGGGGAGGGAAAAACAUUUAAAUGGUAAUAAUUUAAAAAGUCAUUAGAAAUAGUUAAAAAGAAACUGCAUCUAACGGUAGGCCAUUUUUAAAAGAUUUUUGUUGAAUUAAACCUCCAUGUUAGAAAUGACACGCAGUUCAGUUCCACGCCCUAUGAAGCGCUAAAAUGCCAUGAAUAAAGAGAUGCUGUUCUAAGAAAGCAAUGCUGCUCACCUUGAAGGGGUCUCGAGUUUUACUGUUAAAAUUAGUUACAACAGUUCCUUCCAAAACUGCCAAUUUUUUGUCAAAAGUAGCAUAAAUGUGAUCAACCAUUUUUCUCCUGUCUCGAAUCUGGCAACACUGGUAAAAUCAGGCUGGCUUGCCAGGCUAGUGUUUAGCUAGAUUUAAUGUUGCAUGUGAAUGUUUUUUUUUUUAGUUGACACUUUUCUAUAUAUUUAAAAACAUUUUGUCAGUUUUCAUCCCAUUGUUUUUAAUGCGGUUUCAAAUUUUGGGACACACCAUUGUUUCUGUAACACGACUGAGAACCUGAUGCAGGCAUAACACAAGUGAAGUGAUUCUUAACCUUGGUAAAUUUACCGAACCCCACACGUUUCACCUUUGCAUUCACCGAACCCUUCAAUAUUUAGUCAUAAUUCAGUUUUUAUUUUCAAAUUCAAAACCAACAUAGCUAAGCUAGCAAGCUAAUAUUUAAGUGAAUUCCUGUUCAAAUGUCACAUUCACUACAAAUAAAUUUGCCUUUUGCAGUUUUCAUGUUUGAAAAUGAAACGUCAUAUCAUUUGUUUUCAGGUCAACGUUCAUUUUUUUCCCACAUGUAAAAUUUGAAGCAAAUGUUUAUUAUCUGCGAAGUCCACGCUGCCUGUAGGUCUAGAAUUCCUCAUACCAAGUCCAAGUCAACCUUCCACUGAGCAAACCGGUUUCCCUAUUAGAGGGCGAGCAAUAGAAAGAACAAAGCCUGUAAAUUGUAAAACAGUUUAAAAUGAGACUGCCUUUAGUCAGCGUAUGAAAAUAGGGGUUCUAUGUAUCUUAACCUUCACCUAACACCCUGGGUUCAUUCAAACCCAGGUUAGGAAUCAAUGCUCAAGUCAGAAGCUAGAUGCUUUGAGCAAACCCGUCAUUCAGUGUGCGUGUGCCUGUGGAAGAAAGUGACCGACAGUAGAGUAGAAGUACAGGGUGACCCAACCCCCCCCAAAAAACAAAUUUGGAUAGACAUCAUUUUUUGACUUUCAAAGAGACUAGCUAUAACGGUAUUUGAUACAUUUUUAGAACAUCUUACAUUGAAAAUGAGCAAGCUUUAGCUGCAGUCUUUUUUUCAAGGCAAAGCUCCCCACAUAAAUUCCAAUUUCUGUCCGUUUUUAGCCUGCACUCUUUGACCAAUUCUACAUCUCACCCUUUCAACUUACAAAAAUCCAACCAACAAGUUGCUACCAAAAUCUGUUAACUCGAUGGCUGCCGUUGAUGCCGCUAGAUGCCCUAUCGAUUAAGACUGGGAAUGAAAACUCACACCCAGUCUUUCCGAUUUUCGGGGCAUUUACAGGUCACUUCCAAGUCAUUUGGGGAGAUCCCCCGGGUCACUUGCUAUUGUGUAACCCAAAAUCAACAGCAAAUGUCCCAAAAUUGAACUCUUUGCCAUUGAGAUUGUUGUCCAAUCCAUUUGAAGUAGCCCUACCAGUGACUAAGUGAUCAAACUCAUUCCAAUUCACAGGAGAAGGAUGAAAAUACCUUGUUAAUAAUUGUUUAGUAGAAUAUCAAUGAGUUCUUCACCCAGGUAUCUGUAAUUGUUGUAUAGCCAUAUCGUGAAAUCAUUGUUCUCGUAAGUAAAUCAUAUCGUGAUGUACUUCAGAGGUUUCCACCCAUAUGCCACUUGCAAACAAGGGCAUCCAACUACCUUAUCCUUAUGUUUGGGAAUCAUAUUUUCCCUCGAUAAAAGCUGGCAUAGAGACAGAUGAUGAAUUCUACGGACCCCCUUUACAAGAAAUGGACAAAAUCCCCCAAAUUUUAUUUGAUAUUAAGAAUGAGCUGAUAGAAGUACUUGACUACUGUCACAGAUAAAAAGGUCUGUUUACUGUAUUAUAACACAAUAUCACAUGUCAAAGCCAUUUAAUCAUCCUAAUGCAAGACAUAUCAUGCAAUUUAAAGUGUUUGUAAAGGAAUAAUCAAUGAAAAGAAAGUAUUAAUCUGCUUCAAUAACUUAGUCCAUCCGUCGAAGGAAAUCCUAUCCAUUCUAUUCUACUUUCUUAGGACUCUGAAAACAUGAGUCAUUUUUAAUUGACAACUGUUAUAAAUAGGAAAAAGGGCGUACAAAAAGAAUAAUAAUCCCUCAGAUGAGACACUGUUGAUCUGUUUUGCUCAUUAUUGUUGCAUCAUUUCCCGUUAAUAAAAUAUUUUCUGAUCAAUGGCGUACGUCUUUCCUGCUGGAAGCCUUCGGAAGAAUAAACUGCUUCCUCUGCUCAUGUUUCCCUGGAUUAGGAAAAAAAAAAAGAAAAAAUAGUUAGCCGUGGCAAAAAUUCAUGAAGCAAUUUUAGUCACGUACUUUCAGGAGAGACAGAACCACACCUCUGUCAAGUUGGCCCCCCAUCAGACACAAAUUUAUAUAUAAACGUUUGUGCCGUUAUUGUUUUUAAGAUAUUUAUAAUUCUUUUAUAGGUCAAUCUGAGGUUGACCAUCCCCCCAUUUAAAUUAAAAAUGGCUACAAAUGGUGUCAUACGUUUAAGGCAGUUUCUAACCAGCGACAGCCUGGUGUGAAGGGUUCAGCGGCAACCCAUUCAUUGUGUAUGUGGGAGCAGACUUCUCGGCAAAAAAGUGAGCGGUGGACUUAAAAUAAAUAAAUCAUAUAAAAUAAGUUAUUGUUCUUAUUUUAGCCUUGGGUGGAACUCAAGGGCAUAGGUUUGCAUAGGGACGGUAGGGACAUAACACUAGCAACUUUUCAGGAUGCUCAAAUUGUCCCCACCAACUUUGAAGCAACCUUAUUUGUAUUACAUAAUUUGUUCAGCUAUAUAAGUCAUCUAGAUUCUCUUCCCAUAUGUUGUAACGAUAGAAUUGACCCUACCGUUAAGUGAAUUAUUUUCAGACUUACAUUUACCCCUUUUUCACUUGCUGAAUGAGCCAGUCCAUGUUUUUUCCUCAAACGCACGUUUGAUUGGCUGCUGACUUGACAGCCCCCCACGCACACACUCUCACAAUGCAGAAUUACGUUACAUGUCGACAUGCUGCCUCUUCUGCCCGCUUCAAGGAGGGAUGUUAGAAGUUUUUUUUUUCGGCCAGCAGCCACUGUAAGUAAUGUGAAAGCCUUAGUAGGACACUGCUUCAACAGAAGUGUCCUCCUAUAUGUGUAUUCUACUAUGUUAACUAGAGGAAUUUAAAAAAAAAAAAAAAAAAGAUUAUUACAUGCAUCGCGAUUCGACACGUGAUGAUUCGAUUAUGAUUCAUAAAGGUUCAAAAACGAUUUUCCCUCAUAACUUAUGACAGCCACUUGUAGCGGAACGAAAUUCAAGACACGUCUGCCGCCCGGACACCGUUAACGGACGCACGCACAACGUUAUAAUGGAUGCUCCCGUUUACUGGAAGAGAGAUUUACUCCUUUUUAAAAGACUGGAAAAUAAAUUUGUGUAUGAGACAGGCUGGCAGGACCAGAAACGCGAUCCGGCGAUCUGUCGGUUUUGUGCGCAAGUUAUUUUUUAGAGCGAGAGGGGAAAAGAUAUAGUUCGUUGCUCCUUGUCUUUCAGAUGUCCAGCAGUAGUUCUAAGGCAUUUCAAUUGAAAAAUGUCCUGAGUGUGUUGCUAAGACCUGUGUGCGUCUAUAAAAGGCAAGAACACGAACCCUCUUGUACUGUUUAGCCUUUAUUGUUGUUGUUUUUGAAAUGUUAAUAGUUAGCGCCGAGCGCUUAGCUAAUUCGCUAACGUGUAUUUCAUAUGCAGAA